CCAAUAGCGUAUAUUAAAGUUGUUGCGGUUAAAAAGCUCGUAGUUGAAUUUCGGGGUUAGUAGGUUGGUCAUGCCUCUGGUAUGUACUGGUCUCACUGAUUCCUCCUUCCUGAUGAACCUUAAUGCCAUUAAUUUGGUGUUUUGGGGAAUUUGGACUGUUACUUUGAAAAAAUUAGAGUGUUUAAAGCAAGCUAACGCUUGAAUACAUUAGCAUGGAAUAAUGAAAUAGGACGUUCGAUCCUAUUUUGUUGGUUCCUAGGAUUGACGUAAUGAUUAAUAGGGAUAGUUGGGGGCAUUAGUAUUCAAUUGUCAGAGGUGAAAUUCUUGGAUUUAUUGAAGACUAACUACUGCGAAAGCAUUUGCCAAGGAUGUUUUCAUUAAUCAAGAACGAAAGUUAGGGGAUCGAAGACGAUCAGAUACCGUCGUAGUCUUAACCAUAAACUAUGCCGACUAGGGAUCGGAUGAUGUUAAUUUUUUAAUGACUCAUUCGGCGCCUUACG
RNAcentral lists this ribosomal RNA (500 nucleotides) under uncultured Glomeromycotina. Its description in RNAcentral is "partial small subunit ribosomal RNA". It matches the Rfam family "Eukaryotic small subunit ribosomal RNA", at positions 591 to 1092 of the family's 1831-position model. The record is from RNAcentral. Lineage: Eukaryota; Fungi; Glomeromycota.